Non-coding RNA from Pimephales promelas (fathead minnow), 483 nucleotides. Lineage: Eukaryota; Metazoa; Chordata; Actinopteri; Cypriniformes; Leuciscidae. The record is from RefSeq and is a predicted model, not a curated record.
UUAAUGAGGAUCGGUAGAAACGGUUGAACGUAGAAAGAAAACGGAUUAUACGUGAGCAGGAUCAGCGGUUUAUGUUUUUUUUUUUAAAGCUGAUACAUUUUUGAUAUCUUCUUUUGUCAAUCAUUCAGUAAACAGGUUCUCAGAGGAUAUUUUAAACAUGUAUUUUCAAGGACAUGUUAGGAUGAGAGGCUGAUGAGUAACGUUCCUCCAGUGCAAGCCUCCUGGAAAAACCAGUCCAGAUGAAAUCACAGCAGCAAAGGUUCAAAUGAAGAGGAGGAAGAAAAUCAGCAGAAAUCACAGAUCAGCAGAAAACAAGAAGACUGAGAGAAACACGGAGGACAGAAAUGACACACAAACCAGAGAAUCACGAGAGGAAAGAGGACAGACACGUGUUUGAUGUGACAGUAUGAAGAAACUAAAGCCAGACUUGUCCUGUGAUCCAGAUGAGCCUGUAAAGAGUGAUUCUCAUCAAACCCUUCAUCA